RNAcentral lists this ribosomal RNA (339 nucleotides) under Vibrio parahaemolyticus. RNAcentral's name for it is "partial 23S ribosomal RNA". It matches the Rfam family "Bacterial large subunit ribosomal RNA", at positions 398 to 739 of the family's 2925-position model. The record is from RNAcentral. Lineage: Bacteria; Pseudomonadati; Pseudomonadota; Gammaproteobacteria; Vibrionales; Vibrionaceae.
UUCAGUGAAAUCGAGUAGGGCGGGACACGUGAUAUCCUGUCUGAAUAUGGGGGGACCAUCCUCCAAGGCUAAAUACUACUGACUGACCGAUAGUGAACCAGUACCGUGAGGGAAAGGCGAAAAGAACCCCUGUGAGGGGAGUGAAAUAGAACCUGAAACCGUGUACGUACAAGCAGUAGGAGCAGGCUUUGUCCUGUGACUGCGUACCUUUUGUAUAAUGGGUCAGCGACUUAUAUUCAGUGGCAAGGUUAACCAUCUAGGGGAGCCGUAGGGAAACCGAGUCUUAACUGGGCGUUCAGUCUCUGGAUAUAGACCCGAAACCAGGUGAUCUAGCCAUGG